CUUUUCUGCAGAUGUAGCAACAAUGGAGUUGUGGAUCAAAUACCUCAUGACAAAUGGAACUUCUUCCUUUACUAGGAGAACUGUCCAUUGUCUCUGAGAUCUGUCCAAGUUUUCAUCUGAAAUGUGAUGAAGAGUAAAUCAGAUUAACGCCAAGUUUUCUUCCAAACAUCUUCUCAUUGUGUCCCAUGUCCCAUUGAUGAAGUUGUUUCAAAUCUCAGAGACAAUUCACUGAAUUGAACUGCCCAAGACGGCAAAUAUUUGGAGGGGUAUAAGGUGGAUUUUUAUCAUCCUUGUAUAUCUAGGUUCGAUACUUCAAAGAAGAGGCAUACCUUGAAGUGGAUGGUGUUUGAAUCGCCAGUGGAGUAUAUUUGAGUCAAGCUGUGUAUCAGAUUAUCACCACAGGUCGAUUACAUAUUUGGUUUAUUUGCUCUUCUUCUUACAUGCAAAUAACAGCGAAGUUUGGGGGACAGCUUGCUGACUAAGAAACGUGGCUGCAAGUGUAUGAAAGCUACUUGAAGUAUCUUCCCCUUUGCACUGCAAGGGAUUUUCUGAAAAGCAUCUGAUGAUGGGUGAACAAGAACACUGUUGACAAACAAUGCUAGCCGUCUUGAGCGAGCAACAAUCAACUUCAUCGUGGUCAGGCCCAGAUUAUGUAAAUUCCAUCGUCUUUUCCACUGCAUCAAUUGAAUUACUUUCCUGAUUGAUAGAGGUACAUUCCUUGCCAUUUUUGUCUGUCUUAAUUACUGACUCGGGAGCACAUUUUUCUGUUUGUUUUUAAGUGUCUCACUUACGACAGGAGGAUUUCCCUGGACAAUCUGCCUCUCGGCAUGCCCUCUACUCUUUGUUUGCUGACUCAAUCGUAGUAGCGUGCAAACGUUUUAGAGACAAGUCUUCGAGCUAAGUUCACGCAUGGAUACCAUGACAGACAUGAUCAAUUGAACUCAGAAAAAAUAACUCGUCAAGCAAAAGGUUCAAAUUGAAGUUGUGCAUAUAUCACAAGAGGAUCAACUCCUUGGCUCUCUUUUGCCUGUUUCCUGAUUUGACAACGCAGGUUCAUUGGCUUAUCAACUGAAGCAAGGCCACUUUUACGAUGAAAAGUAAAAUCUUCAGAGAAAAUUGCUUUCUUAAGUAUCCCCUCCUGCGUUAGUAGAUGCUGGUUUGGUUCAAUCUUAUGCUGAUAAGUCCAUUUUCUUGUUCAUGCAUUAGCUCAUCCUCUGUACUUAUUUUAGUUUAUGCUGAUGACACUUAUGUGGUAUGACCAGUAAUUGAUUUGACAUAGUUUCUGUUUUGCUGAUUUGGCUUCUUGGAAAUAUUCUCUUGGCAACGAAAAGACUGAAUCCUCACGUGGCA
Molecule: long non-coding RNA, 1350 nt
Organism: Eucalyptus grandis
Lineage: Eukaryota; Viridiplantae; Streptophyta; Magnoliopsida; Myrtales; Myrtaceae
Exons: 2
Source: RefSeq, a predicted model, not a curated record